GGCCUCCCGUCCUGGAUGCUGAGAUGCAAAGAAGCGGGAAGCAGGCGUACAUUUGAGGAGCUCACACCGUAAAUUAAGAGCCCUCUGGACACUAUGGGGAGCAGAAGGCACAGAGCAGAGUGACCUGCAGGCCUCGCCCCCAGCCCUUGAGUGUAAUGAAGUCCUGAAGCAGGUGCACUGACACACAGCAGGAGCUUGAGUUCCUAGGCCACGCAUUUAGCCCAAAUGGGCAGAGUCAGGAGACAGUCAGCCAGCAGGGGACAGGGAGCAGCCACAGCCCAGAUGGCCACCGGAGAAGCGCGAGCAACUGUCCCCAGCCUGAGACCCGAGACGGCCCCUGACCUCUUCUCCUAGAGGCUCGCCGCCGCGGCCCCUCGAGCCCGGCCGCCGCCACCGCCAGUGCCCGGGCGGGCCCUAC
Molecule: long non-coding RNA, 418 nt
Filed under: Sus scrofa (pig)
Lineage: Eukaryota; Metazoa; Chordata; Mammalia; Artiodactyla; Suidae
Description: lncRNA (ENSSSCG00040018542.1, ENSSSCG00065054520.1)
Source: RNAcentral